AUUAACAGACCAAAAUAGGCAAAACACCUAGACAAUUGUUUAAAAUACUGUCACACCGACACAGGAAUGCCAUAUARAAAGAUUAAAAGUUGUAAAAGGAACUCAGCAAAACUUGUCCCAACUGUUUACCAAAAACAUAGCCUUUAGCAACACAAGUAUUAAAGGUCCUGCCUGCCCAGUGAAACUUCUUUUCAACGGCCGCGGUAUUCUAACCGUGCAAAGGUAGCGUAAUCACUUGUCUCUUAAAUAGAGACUAGUAUGAACGGCUAAAUGAGGACAAGCCUGUCUCCUGCAACCAAUCAGUGAAACUGAUCUUCCAGUCCAAAAGCUGGAAUACAAACACAAGACGAGAAGACCCUGUGGAGCUUUAAACCUACUACCAACAAACCCGCCUGGUACAACGUUUUGAGUUGGGGCGACUUCGGAAAAAAACAAAACUUCCGAGAACAGAACCACCACUUCUAACUAAGGCAGACAUGCCAAAAACAACUUUAGACCCAGUCACACUGAUCAACGAACCAAGUUACCCCAGGGAUAACAGCGCUAUCUUCUUCAAGAGUUCAUAUMRACAAGAAGGUUUACGACCUCGAUGUUGGAUCAGGACACCCAAAUGGURMAGCCKCUAUUAAAGGUUCGUUUGUUCAACGAUUAAUAGUCCUACGUGAUCUG
This 669-nucleotide ribosomal RNA is filed under the name Sphenomorphus sp. YL-2010. RNAcentral describes it as "partial 16S ribosomal RNA". It matches the Rfam family "Bacterial large subunit ribosomal RNA", at positions 1699 to 2607 of the family's 2925-position model. The record is from RNAcentral. Lineage: Eukaryota; Metazoa; Chordata; Lepidosauria; Squamata; Scincidae.